RNAcentral lists this ribosomal RNA (118 nucleotides) under uncultured bacterium. RNAcentral describes it as "partial 16S ribosomal RNA". It matches the Rfam family "Bacterial small subunit ribosomal RNA", at positions 1367 to 1482 of the family's 1533-position model. The record is from RNAcentral.
UACGUUCCCGGGCCUUGUACACACCGCCCGUCACGUCAUGAAAGUUGGUAACACCCGAAGCCGACGGCCUAACCCUUCGGGGAGGGAGUUGUCGAAGGUGGGACUGGCGAUUGGGACG